AAUUUAAAUAGUUUAUUAAAAAUAUAGAUUUGUGGUUUCUAAGAUGUUAUUAACUUUAAAUUU
This 63-nucleotide transfer RNA is filed under the name Macropsis hainanensis. RNAcentral describes it as "tRNA-His". The record is from RNAcentral. Lineage: Eukaryota; Metazoa; Arthropoda; Insecta; Hemiptera; Cicadellidae.